AGUGAACGCUGGCGGUAGGCCUAACACAUGCAAGUCGAACGGCAGCACAGUAAGAGCUUGCUCUUACGGGUGGCGAGUGGCGGACGGGUGAGGAAUACAUCGGAAUCUACUUUUUCGUGGGGGAUAACGUAGGGAAACUUACGCUAAUACCGCAUACGACCUACGGGUGAAAGCAGGGGAUCUUCGGACCUUGCGCGAUUGAAUGAGCCGAUGUCGGAUUAGCUAGUUGGCGGGGUAAAGGCCCACCAAGGCGACGAUCCGUAGCUGGUCUGAGAGGAUGAUCAGCGACACGGGAAGUGAGGCGCGGUCCAGACUCGUACGGGAGGCAGCAGUGGGGAAUAUGGGGCAAUGGGGGGAAGCCUGAUGCAGCGAGACCGCGGGGGUGGAGAAGGCCUUCGGGUGGUGAAGGGGCGUUGUUGGGAAAGAAAAGCAGCAGGUGAAGAGGGCGCGGUUGUGACGGUACCGAAAGAAUAAGCACCGGCUAACUUCGUG
This 492-nucleotide ribosomal RNA is filed under the name uncultured bacterium. RNAcentral's name for it is "partial 16S ribosomal RNA". It matches the Rfam family "Bacterial small subunit ribosomal RNA", at positions 30 to 507 of the family's 1533-position model. The record is from RNAcentral.